CCUACGGGAUGCAGCAGUAGGGAAUUUUCGGCAAUGGAGGCAACCCUGACCGAGCAACGCCGCGUGAACGAAGAAGUUAUUAUGAAUGUAAAGUUGUUGUAACAGGGAGGAAAACGAAGUUUGACGGUACCUGCAGAAUAAGCUCCGGCUACCUACGUGCCAUCAGCCGCGGUAAUACGGAGGGAGCGAACUUAAUCCUGAUGUAUUGGGUGAAAAGGUUGGGUAUAGGGCAGAGUAAGUCUUUUGUAAAAAUGGUGGGCUAAACCCAGGAGGGCAAAAGAUACUGUAAAGCUAGAGUAUGAUAGAGGUAAGCGGAAUUACUGGUGUAGCGGUAAAAUGCGUAAAUAUAGGUAAGAACACCAGUGGCGAAGGCGGCUUGCUGGGUUGCUACUGACAUUGAGGCACGAAAGCGUGGGGAGCAAACAGGAUUAGAUACCCUGGUAGUC
This 446-nucleotide ribosomal RNA is filed under the name uncultured bacterium. Its description in RNAcentral is "partial 16S ribosomal RNA". It matches the Rfam family "Bacterial small subunit ribosomal RNA", at positions 338 to 795 of the family's 1533-position model. The record is from RNAcentral.